CGGCGAGCGCCCCGCGGCCGCCCGGGCGAUAAAAGGGCCCCCCCAGACGCUCCUCCUCCGCCGGGCGAAGGUGACGCGGACGCGGCGGGCAGCGGUGCGUGUGGCGGCCCGGUCAUGGCGUCGCAGGCGGGAGGGCUGCCUGUGCCCCUGCUGCUGCUGCUGCUGCUCAGCCUUGCCGGGCGGGACGGCCUGGUGCUGGGGACGACAGGCACAGAUAAGACAGUGAAGGUGUCCCCAACUUUUUCUGCAUUCUCAAGACCCACGGAGACUUCAGUGCUUCUGCCCACCAUUACCUCCACCAGCACAGCCACCACUCCUCCAUCCAGCCCUGAAGUGGGAACCUCCACCCCAGAGGAGAGGUCCAGCACACCACCAUACACCUUCACAGCCAGCACUGUGACUACUUGGGGUAGCAGCCCCACAGUCUCUAAAGUCCUCACGCAGACUGAGAGGGGCAGCACAGCCCACAGCUCUGCCAGUUUGCCUGCUGGCACCACCAUGGUCCAGGUAGUCUCCAGCACCACAGGAAGGGGGACCACCACUGAUGCUCAGUCUCCAACCACUGCAGCUGUGACAUCCACCCAUGCUGAGAAGACAGCCAGCACAUCCCUGGGGACCAGCACUGCUCCAGGCGUCAGCUUGACCAGAGGUGACACAAGCAUGGUGCCUCCUUCCACCUCCUCUCUUCUUGCUUCCACCAUGGAGGGCACCACACUUGCCACGAGCACCAGUGAAGAGACAGCCACGACCUCCUCGCUUCGCAGCACAUCCCAGGAGACCAGCAGUGCAUCUCCCUCUACAACGACUCCUCCCAUCACAAUAGAAGAGACAUUCACUUUGGCUGGGUCCUCGACAUUGCUGGAAGGCACCAUAACUGCUUCCAUCACCAGCACAGCGGUCUCAGAGAGCACCCCCACUGCCACCCAGCCAGAGACCACAACUGGGACCACCCCUGGUAUCUCCACCCAAACCUCAGGGACAGCCCUGGACACCAUGACAGUGCCUCAAACCUCAAGUGCAGGAAUGAGUGCAUCUCACCUCUUUCUGUCACUGCGCCUAACCGUUCCCCUGGACCUUGAAAACUCCGUGGCCCAGGAGCUAAUUUUGUCCAAGCUCCGUGGGGAUCUGCAGACUGCGUUCCCGUGCGCUGGCUUCACGGUGGAGUGGAGAGGGAAGAGGAGGACCUGAACGCUCUUCUCCCAGCCUGAGGACCUGCAGGGCAGGGACCUGAGUAAAUUUGCAAGCCUUCUGCUCUCAGUUCCUUAUUCCAUGUUGGUGUGGCUCUCUAGGGUAACCUGUGCAGCUCCUGUUGAACCCAGACCCCCCCAUCCAACACUGCACCCCCGCAAGGACCACCAGUGUGCCCUGCACCCUAGUGUUCUCCUGAGCYGGGCUUGUCCCUGCCACUCCCUGCAGUCUAUCCGCAUCUCACUCCACGCUGCAGAGCUCAAGCCCUCCCAUGGCCUUGUACCAGUCCCGAUGCCCUCAUUUGGGUCCUUCUGCUGUCCCCUGGCUCUCUUGGGGGGCUGGAAGGAGAGACAGGCUGCCCAUGAGACCCUACAAGGGCUGGGCUUUCAUGGCUGGGACGGCAAUGAGCGAUGGCUGAGUCAUAAAAACCACCCUUGGGGCUGAUAAAUAAGAGAAAGGAGAUCUAGAGACCCUGUUCCUGGGCUAGUUAACACUGGUAGGUGGCAGGUCUCUGUCCAGAGCUUAGUCUGUUGGUACUAGUGACCUACAAGGCUUUGCAGCCUGGAGAUACUGCAAUACCAGAACCCUUGGAGAGCCGCUGCUAGAUGGGAAGAAGCUGGAGGGCUGCUUCGUGUCUGGAGCAGGGCCAGGAUGGAGUCCAGGGGUGGCUCUGGGAACAAAACAGAAGAGGAAAUGAGCCCCCUUUUCCAACCGAGUACAGUCCUGGGGCCAGCCGUGCUCUUCAGCCCUUCAGCGUGGAGGAUGAGUGAAACCGAAGCCCAUCAGCUCUCCCCCCGGGCCUGCCUAUGGUCUCGGUAAUGGAGCAGCGCAUCCACACCAACGCAGGCAGGGCAGUGAAAAGAAAUCCCACAUUUUCCAUGGCAAAGAUGAUGACUUCUUUUUUUCCAAGUYACCUUCCUGGAUUUUUGGCUUUGCUCUCUAGCAGGAGCACCAUGGAGGAAAACCAACURUAUCCAGCUGGGAACCAACUGGAUCUGAUUACUCCUUAGCAACCAGCAGUGGCCACCAGCUAGGAUGGGUUCCAGCACAGCCGAACCUUUAUUUAUAUGCUUCCUUCUCUGAAAUAAAUGAUGGGCUGGGAGAUUUGCUUUUGCA
RNAcentral lists this long non-coding RNA (2304 nucleotides) under Dromaius novaehollandiae (emu). RNAcentral's name for it is "lncRNA (ENSDNVG00000006712.1)". The record is from RNAcentral. Lineage: Eukaryota; Metazoa; Chordata; Aves; Casuariiformes; Dromaiidae.